Molecule: ribosomal RNA, 141 nt
Filed under: uncultured eukaryote
Lineage: Eukaryota
Description: partial 18S ribosomal RNA
Rfam family: Eukaryotic small subunit ribosomal RNA
Source: RNAcentral
UGGUGGAGUGAUUUGUCUGGUUAAUUCCGUUAACGAACGAGACCGCAGCCUGCUAAAUAAUCACAGUAAUGAUUUUUCAUUGCUGAUGGUUUCUUAGAGGGACAUGUAGUAUAAAACUACAGGGAGAUUGCGGCAAUAACA